AACGCACAUUGCGCCUCCUGGUAUUCCGGGAGGCAUGCCUGUUCGAGCGUCAUUAAAAACCACUCAAGCUCUUUUGCUUGGUCAUGGAAGAUGAGUGAGCUUGUCUCUCUCCCUUUCGAAAUUCAAAGGCGGAAAGCCCCAUGUGCACCGGCGUAGUAAGUUUUCUUUCGCUUUGGCCAUGAGGUGAUCCUGCCCCAAACCCCCAAUUUUUCUAGGUUGACCUCGGAUCAGGUAGGGAUACCCGCUGAACUUAA
RNAcentral lists this unclassified non-coding RNA (254 nucleotides) under uncultured Pyronemataceae. RNAcentral's name for it is "sequence contains ITS2". The stretch from base 1 to 52 matches the Rfam family "5.8S ribosomal RNA", at positions 103 to 154 of the family's 154-position model. Lineage: Eukaryota; Fungi; Ascomycota; Pezizomycetes; Pezizales; Pyronemataceae. The record is from RNAcentral.